AAUUUUUAAAUAGAGGGUAUGAAAUCGCAAAUGGACAUAAAAUUACAAAUGAUGGUCGUUUUGCCAAUAGGUUUUCUGCGUUGAAAUCUCCGUUAAAAUGCAUCACUGGAAAUAUAAUAAUACCCCUCACUUUCUACGUCCAUUAAUAAUAAUAUGAUGCAUCCUGUGUCGUAAGAUUACUAAGUUGGCUUGAGAACAGAUUAAAUAUUUAAGUGAGCACAGAUAACACAGAUUUGAUCUAAAAUAUCUUAACAAUAUAUAAGCUUUAAUUUUUAUUGUUUAUUGUUUAUUGUUUAAAAUAUUGGUGAUUUAAUUUGGUUUAAGCGGUGCACAGGUCGAAACGGAAAUAUUUGCGCUAAUAGGUUCAAAAACAAUGAUCACUUUGUUUUGUCCUAUCUGAUUAAUCUAUGAAUUGAACUAUUUCUAAAGUAUUCUAUGCUUCAAGGUUUAAAAGUAUGAAUAAAUCCUGUAAAGAAUGUAGAGUAUAGCGGAUCCUAAACUAUAAAACUGAAGAUAUAUAACAUUAUUGCCCAGUAGUGCUCUCUCAUACAUUCACAUGAAUUCAAUUCAAAUUGAAAUAUAAAAUCAUCAAAAAUUCACAGUGCAUCACGCCUAUUAGGACUGAAUUAAACUACGUCAAAACGAACCAGCUUACUCGCCUAAAACUCUAUUUAUAAAUCUUUUUAUCUUAUAAUCUGAGAAAUUUUAUAAUAUUAAAAAGUUGAAGUUUAAACUAUCAAAGGUUUGUACCGUUGUUGAAAAGAUAUAUGAGCGAAAAAAUAGAGUUUAAGACAAGUAACCAUUUCUGAUAUUCCCGGUUUAAUGCAAAAAUAGCAGUCUACAACAAAGCAUACUGCAACUACAAUACAAAGCUUUAAGAGAUGUUCCAAACUGUUUUUAAGUGAUGAGUGAUGCCAGUCAAAAGUUAAGGCUUUAGUGUAAAUACUAGUCUCUGCGUAAGGGAUUAGAUUCAAUUAUCAAGAGUCCUGGGAUAGAAAGCUCAAACAAGAAUACAAGCUCAAGACCUAUCCCUUUAUCCUCUGCUGGUCCUGUCAGAGAUCCUGUUCUGUUCACUAAACUUGUUGCACUUCAGGAAUCAUUAUCUUUCAUUCUACCAUUUCGGAUUAAUAUACUGUGAGACUGAGAGCCAGAAAACUGAAACAGAGACACUAGCAAUAAGUGAUUUUGAUGUUAUUACAAAACAAAUAAAUAUAAACUUAGAUCAUUUUCUGCGGUAAAUGA
Molecule: long non-coding RNA, 1242 nt
Organism: Eurytemora carolleeae
Lineage: Eukaryota; Metazoa; Arthropoda; Copepoda; Calanoida; Temoridae
Exons: 3
Source: RefSeq, a predicted model, not a curated record